UACGGGGGGGGCAAGCGUUGUUCGGAAUUACUGGGCGUAAAGGGCGCGUAGGCGGUCUGCUAAGUUGGAUGUGAAAACUCUGGGCUUAACCCAGAGCCUGCAUUCAAAACUGACAGGCUAGAGUUCUGGAGGGGAUAGCGGAAUUCCUGGUGUAGCGGUGAAAUGCGUAGAUAUCAGGAGGAACACCGGUGGCGAAGGCGGCUAUCUGGACAGAGUCUGACGCUGAGGCGCGAAAGCUAGGGGAGCAAACAGG
RNAcentral lists this ribosomal RNA (253 nucleotides) under uncultured bacterium. RNAcentral describes it as "partial 16S ribosomal RNA". It matches the Rfam family "Bacterial small subunit ribosomal RNA", at positions 524 to 776 of the family's 1533-position model. The record is from RNAcentral.